UAACCUGCCCAAGAGAUCGGGAUAACACCUGGAAACAGAUGCUAAUACCGGAUAACAACAGAUGAUGCCUAUCAACUGUUUAAAAGAUGGUUCUGCUAUCACUCUUGGAUGGACCUGCGGUGCAUUAGCUAGUUGGUAGGGUAACGGCCUACCAAGGCGAUGAUGCAUAGCCGAGUUGAGAGACUGAUCGGCCACAUUGGGCUGAGACACGGCCCAAACUCCUACGGGAGGCAGCAGCG
RNAcentral lists this ribosomal RNA (239 nucleotides) under uncultured Lactobacillus sp. RNAcentral's name for it is "partial 16S ribosomal RNA". It matches the Rfam family "Bacterial small subunit ribosomal RNA", at positions 122 to 356 of the family's 1533-position model. Lineage: Bacteria; Bacillati; Bacillota; Bacilli; Lactobacillales; Lactobacillaceae. The record is from RNAcentral.